UAGGGAAUCUUCCGCAAUGGACGAAAGUCUGACGGAGCGACGCCGCGUGAGCGAAGAAGGUCUUCGGAUCGUAAAGCUCUGUUGUUAGGGAAGAAGAAGUGCCGUUCGAACAGGGCGGCGCAGUGACGGUACCUAACGAGAAAGCCCCGGCUAACUACGUGCCAGCAGCCGCGGUAAUACGUAGGUGGCAAGCGUUGUCCGGAAUUAUUGGGCGUAAAGCGCGCGCAGGCGGUUCCUUAAGUCUGAUGUGAAAUCUCGCGGCUCAACCGCGAGCGGCCAUUGGAAACUGGGGAACUUGAGUGCAGGAGAGGGGAGCGGAAUUCCACGUGUAGCGGUGAAAUGCGUAGAGAUGUGGAGGAACACCAGUGGCGAAGGCGGCUCUCUGGCCUGUAACUGACGCUGAGGCGCGAAAGCGUGGGGAGCGAACAGG
Molecule: ribosomal RNA, 430 nt
Filed under: bacterium
Lineage: Bacteria
Description: partial 16S ribosomal RNA
Rfam family: Bacterial small subunit ribosomal RNA
Source: RNAcentral